UGGGGAAUCUUCCGCAAUGGGCGCAAGCCUGACGGAGCAACGCCGCGUGAGUGAAGAAGGGUUUCGACUCGUAAAGCUCUGUUGUCGGGGACGAACGUGGAGACUAUGAAUAAUGGUUUUCAAUGACGGUACCUGACGAGGAAGCCACGGCUAACUACGUGCCAGCAGCCGCGGUAAUACGUAGGGAGCAAGCGUUAUCCGGAUUUAUUGGGUGUAAAGGGUGCGUAGACGGAAAGACAAGUUAGUUGUGAAAUACCUCGGCUUAACUGAGGAACUGCAACUAAAACUAUCUAUCUUGAGUACUGGAGGGGAAAGCGGAAUUCCUAGUGUAGCGGUGAAAUGCGUAGAUAUUAGGAAGAACACCGGUGGCGAAGGCGGCUUUCUGGACAGUAACUGACGUUGAGGCACGAAAGUGUGGGGAGCAAACAGGAUUAGAUACCCUGGUAGU
Molecule: ribosomal RNA, 448 nt
Filed under: uncultured Mitsuokella sp.
Lineage: Bacteria; Bacillati; Bacillota; Negativicutes; Selenomonadales; Selenomonadaceae
Description: bacterial SSU rRNA
Rfam family: Bacterial small subunit ribosomal RNA
Source: RNAcentral